RNAcentral lists this ribosomal RNA (508 nucleotides) under uncultured bacterium. RNAcentral describes it as "partial 16S ribosomal RNA". It matches the Rfam family "Bacterial small subunit ribosomal RNA", at positions 30 to 523 of the family's 1533-position model. The record is from RNAcentral.
AUUGAACGCUGGCGGCAUGCCUUACACAUGCAAGUCGAACGGCAGCGGGGGAGAAGCUUGCUUUUCCUGCCGGCGAGUGGCGAACGGGUGAGUAAUACAUCGGAACGUGCCCUGUAGUGGGGGAUAACUAGUCGAAAGAUUAGCUAAUACCGCAUACGACCUGAGGGUGAAAGUGGGGGACCGCAAGGCCUCAUGCUAUAGGAGCGGCCGAUGUCUGAUUAGCUAGUUGGUGGGGUGAAGGCCUACCAAGGCGACGAUCAGUAGCUGGUCUGAGAGGACGAUCAGCCACACUGGGACUGAGACACGGCCCAGACUCCUAUGGGAGGCAGCAGUGGGGAAUUUUGGACAAUGGGCGAAAGCCUGAUCCAGCAAUGCCGCGUGUGUGAAGAAGGCCUUCGGGUUGUAAAGCACUUUUGUCCGGAAAGAAAUGGCUCUGGUUAAUACCUGGGGUCGAUGACGGUACCGGAAGAAUAAGGACCGGCUAACUACGUGCCAGCCGCCGCGGUAA